GAUGAACGCUGGCGGCGUGCCUAAUACAUGCAAGUCGAGCGAACAGACGAGGAGCUUGCUCCUUUGACGUUAGCGGCGGACGGGUGAGUAACACGUGGGUAACCUACCUAUAAGACUGGGAUAACUUCGGGAAACCGGAGCUAAUACCGGAUAAUAUUUCGAACCGCAUGGUUCGAUAGUGAAAGAUGGCUUUGCUAUCACUUAUAGAUGGACCUGCGCCGUAUUAGCUAGUUGGUAAGGUAACGGCUUACCAAGGCAACGAUACGUAGCCGACCUGAGAGGGUGAUCCGCCACACUGGAACUGAGACACGGUCCAGACUCCUACGGGAGGCAGCAGUAGGGAAUCUUCCGCAAUGGGCGAAAGCCUGACGGAGCAACGCCGCGUGAGUGAUGAAGGUCUUCGGAUCGUAAAACUCUGUUAUUAGGGAAGAACAAACGUGUAAGUAACUGUGCACGUCUUGACGGUACCUAAUCAGAAAGCCACGGCUAACUACGUG
RNAcentral lists this ribosomal RNA (497 nucleotides) under uncultured bacterium. RNAcentral's name for it is "partial 16S ribosomal RNA". It matches the Rfam family "Bacterial small subunit ribosomal RNA", at positions 28 to 507 of the family's 1533-position model. The record is from RNAcentral.